CUCGUCACUUUUUCUCCUUUUUUGUGUUAGGGCGAGAGUUUUUCUUCUGCUCCUAACGGGAUUGUAGAGGUAUAGAGGAGUUGCUGAGGGGCUUUUCCCAUCAUCCGGUCUCAAACGACCAGAUCUUCAUUUGUGUCAGGAUGAGGUUCUCCUCCUGUUCCUGACACAAUCAAUUUUAGGUCAUGUUAGGAUGAGAUUUUCCUCCUGCUCCUAACAGGGCUGCG
RNAcentral lists this long non-coding RNA (224 nucleotides) under Elaeis guineensis (African oil palm). Its description in RNAcentral is "long non-coding RNA (EGUI_LNC044781)". The record is from RNAcentral. Lineage: Eukaryota; Viridiplantae; Streptophyta; Magnoliopsida; Arecales; Arecaceae.